RNAcentral lists this microRNA (22 nucleotides) under Homo sapiens (human). RNAcentral describes it as "hsa-miR-6739-5p". The record is from miRBase by way of RNAcentral. Lineage: Eukaryota; Metazoa; Chordata; Mammalia; Primates; Hominidae.
UGGGAAAGAGAAAGAACAAGUA